This 642-nucleotide ribosomal RNA is filed under the name uncultured beta proteobacterium. RNAcentral's name for it is "bacterial SSU rRNA". It matches the Rfam family "Bacterial small subunit ribosomal RNA", at positions 1 to 641 of the family's 1533-position model. The record is from RNAcentral. Lineage: Bacteria; Pseudomonadati; Pseudomonadota; Betaproteobacteria.
AGGAGUUUGAUCCUGGCUCAGAUUGAACGCUGGCGGCAUGCUUUACACAUGCAAGUCGAGCGGCAGCGCGGGGGCAACCCUGGCAGCGAGCGGCGAACGGGUGAGUAAUACAUCGGAACGUGUCCCGUAGUGGGGGAUAGCUCGGCGAAAGCCGGAUUAAUACCGCAUAUGCUCUACGGAGGAAAGUGGGGGAUCCGCAAGGACCUCACGCUAUGGGAGCGGCCGAUGUCCGAUUAGCUUGUUGGUGGGGUAAAGGCUUACCAAGGCGACGAUCGGUAGCUGGUCUGAGAGGAUGAUCAGCCACACUGGGACUGAGACACGGCCCAGACUCCUACGGGAGGCAGCAGUGGGGAAUUUUGGACAAUGGGGGAAACCCUGAUCCAGCCAUGCCGCGUGCGGGAAGAAGGCCUUCGGGUUGUAAACCGCUUUUGUUCGGGAAGAAAGCGUAUCCCCUAAUACGGGAUGCUCUUGACGGUACCGGAAGAAUAAGCACCGGCUAACUACGUGCCAGCAGCCGCGGUAAUACGUAGGGUGCGAGCGUUAAUCGGAAUUACUGGGCGUAAAGCGUGCGCAGGCGGUUCGUCAAGUCUGAUGUGAAAGCCCCGGGCUCAACCUGGGAAUGGCCAUUGGAAACUAGCGAGC